This 470-nucleotide long non-coding RNA is filed under the name Sus scrofa (pig). Its description in RNAcentral is "lncRNA (ENSSSCG00070002825.1)". The record is from RNAcentral. Lineage: Eukaryota; Metazoa; Chordata; Mammalia; Artiodactyla; Suidae.
UCCCGGCCUUCGAAGUGCACUCACCUGUCAGUGGACCUUUAGGUGGCUUCCAGAUCUUGGCUCUGCCCCGCGGCGGCAGAUGGCACUCGUUCUGCCGCUUUUUCCUGGCUGUGUGCGAUGCCAUCGCAUGGAUGUCCCCGGGCCUUCGAAGUGCACUCACCUGUCAGUGGACCUUUAGGUGGCUUCCAGAUCUUGGCUCUGCCCCGCGGCGGCAGAUGGCACUCGUUCUGCGCUUUUUCCUGGCUGUGUGCGAUGCCAUCGCAUGGAUGUCCCCGGGCCUUCGAAGUGCACUCACCUGUCAGUGGACCUUUAGGUGGCUUCCAGAUCUUGGCUCUGGUGAGUAGUGCGGCGACAGACAGAGGGGUGCCCGGGUCUGCUUCCGGGAAAGUUUGGUCCCGGUGAAAUGGAGCUGUUUGGAGGCCGGCUUCGGUCUUUGUGUGGGCCGGCCCGUGUAGGGCUGCUUGGCUGAG